GCGGGGAAUAUUGCGCAAUGGGCGAAAGCCUGACGCAGCGACGCCGCGUGGGGGAUGAAGGCUCUCGGGUUGUAAACCCCUUUCAGCAGGGACGAAAUCAGACGGUACCUGCAGAAGAAGCCCCGGCCAACUACGUGCCAGCAGCCGCGGUAACACGUAGGGGGCGAGCGUUGUCCGGAUUCAUUGGGCGUAAAGAGCUCGUAGGCGGUUCGGUAAGUCGGGUGUGAAAACUCUGGGCUCAACCCAGAGACGCCACCCGAUACUGCUGUGACUCGAGUCUGGUAGGGGAGUGUGGAAUUCCCGGUGUAGCGGUGAAAUGCGCAGAUAUCGGGAGGAACACCAGUGGCGAAGGCGGCACUCUGGGCCAGUACUGACGCUGAGGAGCGAAAGCGUGGGGAGCGAACAGGAUUAGAAACCCUAGUAGUCC
RNAcentral lists this ribosomal RNA (427 nucleotides) under uncultured bacterium. RNAcentral describes it as "bacterial SSU rRNA". It matches the Rfam family "Bacterial small subunit ribosomal RNA", at positions 354 to 796 of the family's 1533-position model. The record is from RNAcentral.